This 468-nucleotide ribosomal RNA is filed under the name uncultured bacterium. RNAcentral's name for it is "partial 16S ribosomal RNA". It matches the Rfam family "Bacterial small subunit ribosomal RNA", at positions 28 to 507 of the family's 1533-position model. The record is from RNAcentral.
GACGAACGCUGGCGGCGUGCUUAACACAUGCAAGUCGAACGGAAAGGCCCUGCUUUUGUGGGGUGCUCGAGUGGCGAACGGGUGAGUAACACGUGAGUAACCUGCCCUUGACUUUGGGAUAACUUCAGGAAACUGGGGCUAAUACCGGAUAGGAGCUCCUGCUGCAUGGUGGGGGUUGGAAAGUUUCGGCGGUUGGGGAUGGACUCGCGGCUUAUCAGCUUGUUGGUGGGGUAGUGGCUUACCAAGGCUGUGACGGGUAGCCGGCCUGAGAGGGUGACCGGCCACAUUGGGACUGCGAUACGGCCCAGACUCCUACGGGAGGCAGCAGUCGGGAAUCUUGCACAAUGGGCGGAAGCCUGAUGCAGCAACGCCGCGUGCGGGAUGACGGCCUUCGGGUUGUAAACCGCUUUCGCCUGUGACGAAGCGUGAGUGACGGUAAUGGGUAAAGAAGCACCGGCUAACUACGUG